This 328-nucleotide ribosomal RNA is filed under the name Metagonia argentinensis. RNAcentral's name for it is "partial 12S ribosomal RNA". Lineage: Eukaryota; Metazoa; Arthropoda; Arachnida; Araneae; Pholcidae. The record is from RNAcentral.
UCAUUAUUCCCCUGGGUAGUAAGAUACACUUAAACCUUAUAUAUAUGGCGGUCUUAACACCUUAAAGAAACUCGCUUUAUAAUCGUCAACCCCCGUUAAAUUUCACUCAACUUAUAAAAGUCUAUAUACCGCCGUUUAAGAUCAAACUUACUAGUAACGCUCUAAUUCUAAUAAUUACCAAAAAUCAGGUCAAGGUGUAGCCAACAAUUGAGAAAAAGUAAGUUACAUUAAAAACAAUUUAAGAAUAAACACUUGAAAAAAUGAAUGAAAAAGAAUUUAUUUGUACAUUAAGAUUAAAAUCCUUAAUAGAACAGUUAAAUUAAGACGC